Molecule: long non-coding RNA, 3700 nt
Organism: Solenopsis invicta (red fire ant)
Lineage: Eukaryota; Metazoa; Arthropoda; Insecta; Hymenoptera; Formicidae
Exons: 3
Source: RefSeq, a predicted model, not a curated record
CAGUAUGUAAUCUCAUUAAAAAAAUAAAGAUAUUUUUAAAAACAUUUUUUUCCAUGUACAGCUUCCUCCUAUAUUAAUACUUUACUUUAGACAUAAGUAUUAAUAUCCUUAACUCGCCAUCCGUGGAACUUUCGAAGCAAAAGAAUUCCGUUACUUAUUUAAUAUGAAUGAAUUCUGCGACGAUUCGCGACCCUAUCUAAUUCUUUGCUCAUAAGACUUUCAAAGACGUUCUUAUCUUCUCUUCGUCUGCAUAUUUUAUUUUUAUUCUUAUUGUAUACCGCACAUUACGCUUACGCUUACUAAUCAAUUUUCUUUAUCUCUUGUCUCCAGGUCAAACAAUACUGGCACAGUGACGUUGCAAAUUUAGAUAAAUUUUCUAUGUAUUACAAAAUAAGCAAACCUAUUGUGUUUCCUCUCUGUUUAGUUCUAUCUCUCAACUUCCUCGUCUCUCUUAUGUACACACGUACGCCAACAGGAAGCUGUGAUAGCUCUUGACAAGCACGUGACGUUUGCGGCCGUCCCGCUGCCGAGCAUGUAAUUAUCGCAUACCGCGUAGGCAGCUAGUUGCAUUGCUAUCGGCUGUUCUUACUCCCAAUGCAUUAAGAGUAGUUCGAUUGUAUUAGAACGCCUGAAAUUAAAUGUAUCUUUUUGGUGUGCCGGCGUAUCAUCUGAGAUUUAACGAAUUUUGUAACAAAGUCAUAAUCACAGUCGCUAAAAUAUGAUAUUAGCAAUAACAACUUUAAUAAAAAUCUCCGAUUAAAUCCACCGUAAUAUAUAAUUUAAUUAAAUGACACACUUUUCAUGUAUGUAUUGUGAUAAAAAUGUAACUAAUCAACAAAUGAAAUUGUAAUUUUUUUAUUUUGUUAUGCGCGUUUCAGGAAAAGUUUACUGCACCUUUCAAUAAUGCCGACAUGUAUGACACAGAAUUUAUUAAACAUAUUUUCAAGUUACACUUUACAAAAAUAAAUAAAUAUUCGCUACAUGUGCGAGAGGUGUAUUUUAAAAUAAAUAUUGAAUUGAUUCGCUAAUAUUGAAGUCAGAUAUCUUUAAUGUUCCAAGCGCUUCCAAUAAAUAAAGCCAAAAUAUUCGAAUAACUCCACGAUCCUGCGCGCGUGGAUCGCGCGCGUAGGUCGUAUUAAAAAAAUAGUACGAUCUCACAGGCUAGGCUUUCGGGGCUGGCUAAUCCAGCAAUAACGACGCAAUAGCGCUCGCAAACGAUCUCACAUCCGGCCGACUCUUUCCGCAUUGGAGAACUUAAUUGCACCGUGAGCAGAUCGAGAGAAAUGCUGGACGUGAACUCGUUCUGUGGUACUCGUGCGGAAUCGCGUAUUGUCUCCCGACCAGCCCUUCAAGCUCGCUUCGUCGCCCACACGCCUCGUCGGUGCGACACCCCGUACCAUCCGCCCCUCACAUGUGCGCCGUCCACGGUAACGAACCAUCUCGCCAUCACCAUCACCGACCAGCACCAGCACCAGCACCAGCACCAGCAAUGACCGGCUUUACCUCUCACGCGCGCGACAGUAACGUCGUUGUGUGAAAGCCGCUCCUGAUCAUUCGCGCGUGCUAUAUUAUUUUUACCUCGGCAACUAGAGCGGCGAAACACGUAGCGUUAUCAAACAACGGCUUUGUCUAACUUUAAUUGAAAAUAUUGGAAUAAAUUUUCCAAUAGACGUUGCCGAUGAAACCACCGCCACCGUCGCUACCGCCACCGCCGUCACCGCGAGCGCAUGGCCACCCACCCGACGUAGAGUGAAUGGAUGACUGAAUCGCGCGGGGAAGGAUAGAGAAUACCGGGGGAGAGAACGAGGGCCCCCGAUCAGCAUGGAAUACCGAGAGAUGGUGCAGCUAUUUUUCACGAACCCUUGGCUGGCCGAACAGCCGUCACGUCCGUCGGAGAUCUAACCCGUGGUAAUCUAGCUGAUGAUAAACGGUUGUUGUGCAAAAUACGUCAAUCCGACGCGAUGGCCACUUGUAUGGUGACAGAGACUCAUCGACGGAUUGCAGUGGGCGAAAUGACAGAUUGGAGAGCAGACCGGAAGCGAGUUCACCGCUCAUUUGCGUCAGGAUGAAGCCAUGCUCAACCCCGAUUUCUGCGCCUCCCCGUCUGUCUCUUCUUCCCUUCCAAACCCUCAUCCCUCGCGUGCCCCCGCCGUUAACCAGCCCCACUCGAUGCCUGGGGCCCGUCGCCGCCGACAGUCGCUUCUUCCCGGGGGCGGGACCAGGCAGAACCGGAAGUGCCCGGAUAUGAGUUUCCGGCGCGGACAAUUUGCAACGCGAAAUUGAAUGAUCGACUUCGAUAACCGUCCCAGGGCUGUUCCUACCCAGCAACCGGCUACGCGUAUUCCAGGACGGCGCCGUCGCCGUUAUGUUGAAAACGAAUCGUCGGGCCGCCUCGCCAUUACUGCGAUUCGUUAUCGUCAUUACCGGCAUCGACGGUGCGUGUGCCGGUCGCUACGGGGGAGGAAGAAAGAGAGCGUGUGGCCAACGGUAAUUGUUGCAGUCGCAGUGAAUGUCAACGCGGAGGUCUUCUUUUAAACUGGACCGGAUCAAGCAAUAAUAAUCGAAAAUAUACAAAGAUAAGUUUGUAAUAAUUAAUAAAAGAUUUUCCUGUGAAAUGUCUAAAUAUUUAUUUAGAUAUAUGUAAAUCUGAAAAUAAUUUUAUUGUCAAAACUUUUUGCAGUUUUGCUUUCAUUACACUAGAACGUCUUGCAUAAUUAUUUUGUUACCAAUAAAAUUAACUUUAAAUCUGUAUGUAGCUAAAUAUUUUCGAUACUUCAGCGUAAUUGUUCAUUUCGUCUCACUAGUAAUAAUAAAUACAUCAUAAAAAAACAAACGGACUACAAUAAUUAAUAGUACACACAGUUAGGUAUAGAAAUUCGGAAUAGAUUUAGACUCUCUAUCGUCAACUCUAUGUUCGAUUUCAACUCAUUCAAUCAAUUAAUUCUUGUUAAUUUCUGCCUAUAUUUCUCGAUAUUUAUAUCUACCAUCAAUUGAGCGCGAUUUUAUUAACAUUAUUGUUACCCGUGUUUAACGGGAUUAUAGUAAUAACGAUCAACCAUGUUACGCCUCGCAAACCGGUCAUGCUUCAGGCAAAGUCAACCUGCGUGUCAUCAACGGCGCGUCCACCAGCAUGAUACAAUCGAUAAUGGCGAUUAAUAAUACGGAUAUCGCGAUUAUAAUUAGCAGAAUCAUACGGGCAACGCAACAGGAGGGGGACUCGUCGUUUAGCGCGACAAUAAAUUUUCGCCGUUAUCCGCGUCGGCGAUUUGAUCGACGUAAAUUUCGUCGCAAUUAAACGCGCUGCGCGAAACCGCAUUUUGACCGAGGUGUCUCUAUAUAUUCAACAAUCGCUGCAUUGUUUUGUAAUAUUUCAGCUCGAGGCAGUCCAGAGCGGAACGCCAACGCAGACGGUAAUAGCUUGCUUUGAUAUACGUACAAACUGUGUAACACUUUUUUUCAACGUUGAAGCACCCACGAUUUCCGCGCGAUUAAAGUGACUGCGAUUUGCAUUCACAAAUGAUUUUUUACAAACUAGCUAAAUAAAAUAGAGAGAUGUUAAAAUAUUCCUUCUCUGCAAUAUUCCCUACAUGGAGGAAAAUAUUAUUCUCGUGCUCAGAAAAGCGAUUAUUCAAUUUUUACUUUUCUUCUUUUACAUAACGAUUAUCUUUGUAAAAAAUAUCUUGAUAACAGUCUGAAAAUA